This 253-nucleotide ribosomal RNA is filed under the name uncultured bacterium. RNAcentral's name for it is "partial 16S ribosomal RNA". It matches the Rfam family "Bacterial small subunit ribosomal RNA", at positions 524 to 776 of the family's 1533-position model. The record is from RNAcentral.
UACGGAGGGGGCAAGCGUUAUUCGGAAUUACUGGGCGUAAAGGGCUCGUAGGCGGCCAACUAAGUCAGACGUGAAAUCCCUCGGCUUAACCGGGGAACUGCAUCUGAUACUGGAUGGCUUGAGUUCGGGAGAGGGAUGCGGAAUUCCAGGUGUAGCGGUGAAAUGCGUAGAUAUCUGGAGGAACACCGGUGGCGAAGGCGGCAUCCUGGACCGACACUGACGCUGAGGAGCGAAAGCCAGGGGAGCAAACGGG